UGGGGAAUCUUCCGCAAUGGACGAAAGUCUGACGGAGCAACGCCGCGUGUAUGAUGAAGGUCUUCGGAUUGUAAAGUACUGUCAUUGGGGAAGAACGGUUUUCUUGAAAAGAUUGAGAAGACAUGACGGUACCCAAGGAGGAAGCCCCGGCUAACUACGUGCCAGCAGCCGCGGUAAUACGUAGGGGGCAAGCGUUGUCCGGAAUUAUUGGGCGUAAAGGGCGCGUAGGCGGGCCUUUAAGUCCGGUGUGAAAGAUCAGGGCUCAACCCUGAGAGUGCAUCGGAAACUGGAGGCCUUGAGGACAGGAGAGGAAAGUGGAAUUCCACGUGUAGCGGUGAAAUGCGUAGAUAUGUGGAGGAACACCAGUGGCGAAGGCGACUUUCUGGACUGUAACUGACGCUGAGGCGCGAAAGCGUGGGGAGCAAACAGGAUUAGAUACCCUGGUAGUCCACGCCGUAAACGAUGAGUGCUAGGUGUAGAGGGUAUCGACCCCUUCUGUGCCGCAGUUAACACAAUAAGCACUCCGCCUGGGGAGUACGGCCNCAAGGUUGAAACUCAAAGGAAUUGAC
RNAcentral lists this ribosomal RNA (569 nucleotides) under uncultured bacterium. RNAcentral describes it as "partial 16S ribosomal RNA". It matches the Rfam family "Bacterial small subunit ribosomal RNA", at positions 355 to 914 of the family's 1533-position model. The record is from RNAcentral.